CCUACGGUGGGCAGCAGUGGGGAAUAUUGGGCAAUGGGCGCAAGCCUGACCCAGCAACGCCGCGUGAAGGAAUAAGGCUUUCGGGUUGUAAACUUCUUUUCUCAGGGACGAAGCAAGUGACGGUACCUGAGGAAUAAGCCACGGCUAACUACGUGCCAGCAGCCGCGGUAAUACGUAGGUGGCAAGCGUUAUCCGGAUUUACUGGGUGUAAAGGGCGUGUAGGCGGGACUGCAAGUCAGAUGUGAAACCCACGGGCUCAACCUGUGGCCUGCAUUGGAAAUUGUAGUUCUUGAGUACUGGAGAGGCAAUCGGAGUUCCGUGUGUAGCGGUGAAAGGCAUAGAUAUCACGCAGAACCCCGAUUGCGAAGGCAGCAUACCGGUGCACAACUGACGCUCAGGCACGAAAGCGUGGGUAUCGAACAGGAUUAGAUACCCCAGUAGUC
This 443-nucleotide ribosomal RNA is filed under the name uncultured bacterium. RNAcentral describes it as "partial 16S ribosomal RNA". It matches the Rfam family "Bacterial small subunit ribosomal RNA", at positions 338 to 795 of the family's 1533-position model. The record is from RNAcentral.